This 253-nucleotide ribosomal RNA is filed under the name uncultured prokaryote. Its description in RNAcentral is "partial 16S ribosomal RNA". It matches the Rfam family "Bacterial small subunit ribosomal RNA", at positions 524 to 776 of the family's 1533-position model. The record is from RNAcentral.
UACGUAGGGACCAAGCGUUGUUCGGAUUUACUGGGCGUAAAGGGCGCGUAGGCGGCAAUUCAAGUCAUCUGUGAAAUCUUCGGGCUUAACUCGAAACGGUCAGAUGAUACUGUCUUGCUAGAGUGCAGAAGGGGCAAUCGGAAUUCUUGGUGUAGCGGUGAAAUGCGUAGAUAUGACAUAGAACACCUAUUGCGAAGGCAGCUUACUACGCAGAGAUUGACGCUCAUGCACGAAAGCGUGGGGAUCAAACAGG